GUGAGAUCUGUUAACCUGGGAAAAUCGAGCUUGGUCCACAAAUAAAUGCUGCAAAUUCAUCCAGUGAAAUCAGGCAGUCGGUGUGAACGGCUGCACGAAGAACAAAUAAUUUUGUCAAGUUUUGUGAAGUAAAUUUAUGAUACACAACACAGUGUUUAUGAGGAUUAUAGAGCUUGUUAUGUACCCAUUUUGUUUUUACAUUUGAUGGUUGCAUGUUUUGAUAUUUACAUGUUUACAUAUUUGAAUGUUUAUAUGCACUUUCAAAGCAGUAAUAACUACAUACUGAAUGCUGCAGUUACCUGAGUCUGGGAUUUCCUGGCUUCUGAUUUGCUAGGGAAGUCUCGUGGGGGCUGCACACAGGAAGUGCUGUAUUUGUUUUGUGGAGAUUAAAGGUGCUGCUAAGAAAGUUAUCCAUCUUCAUGUUGCAGUUUCUAAUAGUUCACAGAGAUUCAGAACCACAUAACGAACCAUCUGAAAUGUUCACAUGGGUGCAGUGUGUGAAGGCCUUCAGUGUCACUUUGAGGAAAAUCAACCAAACUUCUUUAAAAUUUCUUUUCUUCCUCUUUCUGGUGCGAAGUGGGCAAUAGAGGUAAGUGACGGAAGUGACGGCGGUAAGGUAAGGACCCAUGUUGUAGGUGACGUCAGACGCCGGAGAUUUGGCGGAAAAAAAACAAAACAAACGAAUGGUAGCCUAGAAUUUAACAAAGUUUCUUUAAUCUUCAGUAUUGUCAAAUAAACUAACCAACUGUCAUAUAACUAACAACAUCUGUCCUAUCAUCUCUAACACCCUGGAGGACAACGAGGAGAGUUUAGACGCUCUCCAAGAAUACAUCGACCGGUGCUUCGAAGAUUUAGUAAUGAAGAAGGCCCAGAGCAUGUCUUCCCCGGCCAAAACUGAGACGCCAUCAUCUAAAAGAUAUCGCCCGGCAGACUCCCCCGGCACAACAUCGCCUGCCGGCAAAGAUAUCGUCGACAUCCUGGAGUCAAUCGAUAAGCGAUUGUCCAGUUUUGAUGCGAGGCUGUCCCUGGUGGAGAUCUUACACCGGGAAUUUCAAUCUCUAAAAGAAUCCCUGGAGUUCAGCCAGAAGCAGAGUCUGCCGGAGAGGACCCGGAAACGACCGUGAGAAGCUUCAUUAAAAUCCACCUGAAGCUGCCGGAGGACACGGUGAAAAACAUAGGGUUUGAAAGAGUGCAUCGCAUCGGGGCUCCGAAGACAGGAAGCGGGAGACCGCGUCCUAUUGUGACCAAAUUCGGCCACUUUAAGCAGAAGGAGCAGGUGAAGAGUCGCGGCAGAGAGCUGAAAGGAACAGACUUCAGCGUGAACGAUCAGUUCCCCAGAGAGAUCCUGGAACGACGCAGGGUCCUGUUCCCAGUCCGACGUAGUUUUAUUCAGAAAGGCUCCCGGGCUGUCAUCGCCGUGGACCGGCUCUACGUGGACGGACAGCUCUACCGCGACCCCGGCAUCACUCCGCACACCAGAUAAGAAUCCGCUACGCUAUUCUCUUCAC
Long non-coding RNA from Oreochromis aureus, 1508 nucleotides. Lineage: Eukaryota; Metazoa; Chordata; Actinopteri; Cichliformes; Cichlidae. The record is from Ensembl.